This 63-nucleotide transfer RNA is filed under the name Scalithrium sp. LRP 10409. Its description in RNAcentral is "tRNA-Val". Lineage: Eukaryota; Metazoa; Platyhelminthes; Cestoda; Rhinebothriidea; Rhinebothriidae. The record is from RNAcentral.
UGCAAUGUAGUUUACUUAAAAUUCUUAUUUUACACGUAAGGGAAUCCUUAAAGGACUUUGUAA